UACGGAGGAUGCAAGCGUUAUCCGGAAUGAUUGGGCGUAAAGCGUCCGCAGGUGGUUUUGUAAGUCUGCUGUUAAAGCGUCAUGCUCAACAUGAUUAAAGCGGUGGAAACUACAAGACUAGAGUGCGUUAGGGGUGAAGGGAAUUCCUGGUGUAGCGGUGAAAUGCGUAGAGAUCAGGAAGAACACCGGUGGCGAAGGCGCUUCACUAUGCCGCAACUGACACUGAGGGACGAAAGCUAGGGGAGCGAAUGGG
This 253-nucleotide ribosomal RNA is filed under the name uncultured bacterium. RNAcentral describes it as "partial 16S ribosomal RNA". It matches the Rfam family "Bacterial small subunit ribosomal RNA", at positions 524 to 776 of the family's 1533-position model. The record is from RNAcentral.